Long non-coding RNA from Parus major (Great Tit), 2302 nucleotides. The record is from Ensembl. NCBI's taxonomy places the organism in Eukaryota, Metazoa, Chordata, Aves, Passeriformes, Paridae.
GGGCAGAAAAAAAAAAAAAACAACGAAAAAAAACCCCGGCCAAUCCAAGAAAUAUAGCGGCGUGGAAAUCAAGGAGAUGAAAGUAAAAAAAAAAAAAAAAUGUUUUAUGAGAGGGCGUGGAGAAAAGCAAAAUCUCGGAGAAGUGCAAAAUCAAGCCUGCGAACUCCUCGGAUGAUGCUGGUCUUGGCUGGCCUCUCCAGCUUGGGGAACGAAUGGAACGAUACGGCGAGGUGCGGAAAUCUCCUGAUUCAGCCUCCCGGAGCCUCUCUGAGAUAAAGCAGGGUCCAGUCCCGUGAGCAUCAACUUCUGCGGAAGGACAAAACAGUUUGAAGGAGCAGGGAGGAGGUGAGAGGAAAAGAAUCCACCCCUCAGAUGACUACAUAAGGAGAUCAAAAAAAAAACAAAACCAACCGCCCCAGAUCCUCUCGAUCUUGCCCAACAGCUGCUCCCCUUUUCCCUCUGAAGCAGCAGCAAGAGCAGCAAGAAAAAAUACACCACGCCAGCGGCAAAUAAAUAAACUUGAAUGCAGCGGCAGGCAGGGAGGGAUCGUAAAGAGCGACGAGGAUUGGAGGGGCAAAAGUCAGUUUUGAAAAAAAAAAAAAAAAAAAAGCUUUAUGGGAGGAAAAAAAAUCUUAAAACAGUCACGCCCCCUUUUGCAAUGACCCGUCCCUUCACUGCGUGUAAAUCCGACAUCAGCAACCUGGAAAAGCUAGGAGCCUGGCGUGCUGAGCUGUCUCUGUGCAUGCGUGUGUGCGACAGGCAGCCGCAGAGCUGUGUACGCGGUACAGAGAGGGAGGCGUCGUCCCGAGCUUCUCCUCCUCCAUGCCAAAAAAAUACCCAACCCCACCUUCUGGAAACCUGACUAAUUGAAUUACUAAGAACUCGAAGUGGUUCCUGUGCAGCCUUACUGCUAAAGUUUGGUGCAAGUGCUGCUGCUUCCACGCCAGAGGGAUGCACCAGUAGCAAGGGAGUGUUGUCUCCAAGUGGUCCUGUUGCUAAGUGUGGAGAGGGGAAAGAAAGAGAGGGAGAGGGGACCCGUCUCUGAAGACCUGAUAUGCCUGUUAGUAUUUUUUUCUCACCUAUCUCUGGCUGUCAAUUUCUUUUUACUUCUUUCUGUCUUUUUAUUUGAUGUCAGCUGUUGGCUCUUCUUUUUUUUUUUUUCCUUUCUAUUUUUCUUUCUGUCUCAAUAUAUUUUUUUUUCCAUUUGGAGGUUAUUAAAAUUUAGUAUUUUCUCUCAGAGUGUAGCCCUCCUUGCCCUGUCAUGAAAUGAAAUCAUAUUGAACAGAAAGGCUUUACUUGGAGCUCAGACAGGAAUUAAAGACAGCAGUUUUAACAAGAACAUACAUAAACAUCCCCAGACUUCUUGUACUGCCAACGUGAGCUUCCUUAUUCAUGUAAAGAUACCGACAAUUUUCAAGGUAGGAUACAUAUUGCUUUGCAACUACUAUGUAUGAAAUAUUUUUCAGCACUGUGAAUGCCUCUCGAAGAGAGAAUCACAUUUAGUCCUCUCACAGUCCUUGCUAUCUAGUCACCUACUUCUUGCAGUGAAUGUAUCUCUAUAAAUUCCUUAAACUGUAUUAAACAUGUAUUAUCUAUGUACAGGUACAAGGGAGCAGAAAAGAAGUCCUAAUUUUGCAGUGCUUUGCUGCUGUUUUAACCAGUGUACAUUUGCAAGUCAGUAAAGCAUACACAAUAUUUCCCUUCUGCCUCCUGCUUCUUCUUCAUGUCUGUUGACCACAUGGAUAAUGCUGGAGCUGCUAAUUCUCUCCUUGCAGUGCUUAAGCUCUUGCCAGAGCACUCAUUACUAGAAAGACACUGAGAAUCAAACCCAUACCGAGAGUAAUCCAGCAUAGCACCAGCUGAAGUCAACAAGAGUUGUGUCUGUCUAUGCCAGGGCUGUAUUUAUUGCUAAAACUGUCUCCAGCACAAAGAUGCCUUGCCAUGUUUAUUCUGUGCCACCAUGUCUGGUAUAAUCAGGAGAGAAUAAGAGACAAAAGGUUUACAGUGUUGUUUUAAUGUCUGCCAAUAACAAGAUUGGAGAUUCACAGCAUCUGAAGCCAGUCAGUUCAUCAAAGUGCUCUUCAGCAGCACAAAGCACUCCAUCUUAACAUUGCAUCCAAUUGUGCAUUUCAGGGAAUCUUUCAAUAUGCUCUUCUAGGCAGUGCUAGCAAACUUAGCAAUAUGCACUCUUGCCUUACUUGCUGACUGGCUUAAAAAAAGAAAAUUAAAUACAUUUCUCAUAUGGCUAUAAUGUGGAAUUUUUCCACACCAUUAAAUAAAAUGUUACUGUAGUUUAUUGGCA